Molecule: ribosomal RNA, 721 nt
Filed under: Calliphora calliphoroides
Lineage: Eukaryota; Metazoa; Arthropoda; Insecta; Diptera; Calliphoridae
Description: partial 28S ribosomal RNA
Rfam family: Eukaryotic large subunit ribosomal RNA
Source: RNAcentral
ACUAACAGGAUUUUCUUAGUAGCGGCGAGCGAAAAGAAAAUAGUUCAGCACUAAGUCACUUUGUCUUUAUGGCAAAUGUGAGAUGCAGUGUAUGGAAUGUCAAAUUUCUAGUAUGAGAAAUUAACGAUUUAAGUCCUUCUUAAAUGAGACCAUUUACCCAAAGAGGGUGCCAGGCCCGUAUAACGUUAAUGAUUACUAGAUGGCAUUUCCAAAGAGUCGUGUUGCUUGAUAGUGCAGCACUAAGUGGGUGGUAAACUCCAUCUAAAACUAAAUAUAACCAUGAGACCGAUAGUAAACAAGUACCGUGAGGGAAAGUUGAAAAGAACUCUGAAUAGAGAGUUAAAUAGUACGUGAAACUGCUUAGAGGUUAAGCCCGAUGAACCUGAAUAUCCGUUAUGGAAAAUUCAUCUUUAUGAUUUUAAUAUUUAUAAUAUUAUAAUAAUGGUGUGCAUUUUUUCUAUAAAGGACAUUGUAAUCUAUUAACAUAAAUAUAUUUAUCAUAAGAUCAUUUGCUUAAGUUUAUUCAAAUUAUUUUGCUUGCAUUUUAAUAUCGAAUAAAUGCUUUUGAUUUGAUAAAGUGUUGAUAGAUUUAUUAUAUAUAGUGCUUAAAUAUUUAUAUUUUAUAAUAGCAUAUUGAUCAUUGAUCUUUAUGUUUAUUAUAUGCACUUAUAUGAUUAACAAUGCGAAAGAUUCAGGAUACCUUCGGGACCCGUCUUGAAAC